GCCCCCAUAGCCCAAUUGGUAGAGGCAAGCGACUUAAAAUCGCUGUGUUGUCAGUUCGAGUCUGACUGGGGGUA
This 74-nucleotide transfer RNA is filed under the name Auritidibacter ignavus. RNAcentral's name for it is "tRNA-Leu". It matches the Rfam family "tRNA". Rfam says of the family: Transfer RNA (tRNA) molecules are approximately 80 nucleotides in length. RNAcentral also lists the same sequence under 1 other name. The record is from RNAcentral. Lineage: Bacteria; Bacillati; Actinomycetota; Actinomycetes; Micrococcales; Micrococcaceae.